CCUACGGGAGGCUGCAGUGGGGAAUAUUGGACAAUGGGGGGAACCCUGAUCCAGCCAUGCCGCGUGUGUGAAGAAGGCCCUCGGGUUGUAAAGCACUUUCAGUGAGGAAGAACGCCUGGUGGUUAAUACCCAUCAGGAAAGACAUCACUCACAGAAGAAGCACCGGCUAACUCCGUGCCAGCAGCCGCGGUAAUACGGAGGGUGCGAGCGUUAAUCGGAAUUACUGGGCGUAAAGCGCGCGUAGGUGGCUUGAUAAGCCGGUUGUGAAAGCCCCGGGCUCAACCUGGGAACGGCAUCCGGAACUGUCAAGCUAGAGUGCAGGAGAGGAAGGUAGAAUUCCCGGUGUAGCGGUGAAAUGCGUAGAGAUCGGGAGGAAUACCAGUGGCGAAGGCGGCCUUCUGGACUGACACUGACACUGAGGUGCGAAAGCGUGGGUAGCAAACAGGAUUAGAUAUCCCGGUAGUC
RNAcentral lists this ribosomal RNA (465 nucleotides) under Vreelandella stevensii. Its description in RNAcentral is "partial 16S ribosomal RNA". It matches the Rfam family "Bacterial small subunit ribosomal RNA", at positions 338 to 795 of the family's 1533-position model. Lineage: Bacteria; Pseudomonadati; Pseudomonadota; Gammaproteobacteria; Oceanospirillales; Halomonadaceae. The record is from RNAcentral.